GUCCGAUUUGCUCGUCGUAACUGUGAGGCCCAAGGUUUCGAUUUCCAAACGGUAUCCAAAGGAUUGGCUUCUAGAACCAUUUCUAGGUCUAGCCGAUUCAACAUCGAUGCUCUCUUUAGAUCUCUCCUUCGACCGCCUACUCGAGUCUGGGCCUUGUGAUUCAGACCAAAACGAUAUGAUUGAGCGAGCGAUGAAGAUGAGAUAUGUGCUCCUCGAAGCCGAUAAGAGAUCUACCAGAAAGCGUGCCACAAUGCACAAUGCCAUCGUUUGGGCCCCGCCUCUUGAUCUCACUACCAAAAUACGUGUGGAUUGAUUUAUUUUUUUUGGAGGUUUGGGUUUCGGUUAUUUGUUCGGUUGGAGUACACAAAACUCUUUGAUGGUUUACCUGGAAUGCUGGAUAUGGAGUCUACUAUUGUGAUCAAGAUUCCAAGGAUCCUUUUGUUCAUCUUCUUCUUUUACCACAUGUUUACCCAUUUUUUUUAGUUAAUCUUAUCAAGGUAUGACGGGGGAGGUACGCUGAAGAAAUUGAGAAAAGCACUUGGAGCUAUUAAGGAUAGCACCACUGUCAACUUGGCAAAAGUAAAUAAUGAAGUACAAGGAGCUUGAUAUUGCAAUUGUUAGGGCCACAUAUCAUGUUGAGCGCCCAGUGCAACAAAAGCACAUAAAUGGGAGUGUUCUCUCAAGAUGGAGAUGGCUUGUUCUUUUGAUAGCUGCCCACUUUGUGCUUCAGCUACAAGCCCUCGAGCUGAUGUUGCCAAUUGCAUUCAUGCUUUGGCUAGACGAUUGUCAAAGACACACAAUUGAGUGGUUGCACUGAAAACCUUAAUUAUUAUUCAUCAUGCUCUGAGGGAAGUGGACCCCACUUUUUCAAGAAGAGCUAAUCCAUUAUGGAAGAAGAAGAACCCAUAUGUGCACAAUAUGGCCCAUCUCAAAGAUGAUUCCAAUCCAAAUGCAUGGGAUUACAUUGCUUAGGUCUCCACAUAUGCCUUAUUUUUAGUGGAGAGGUUGGAAUGUUUUCGUGUAUUGAAGUAUGAUGUCGAGAUCGACCGCCUGUAAGGAAGCUUUUCUAUUCAUUUGGCUGUUUUAUUGUAUUUAAAUUAUCUCUGGCAAAACAUGCUGUGAAUCUGUAUUUAGUAUUUUUACUGAGCUAUGUCACCUUUGCAAUUUAGAAAAGGACAAUAUGUUUUAAGGGGUUGUGUUUGUGUUGCAGCCGGAAAAGUAUGGCAUGAAUGCUCGCAGCAUUACAUUUUGAAAUUGUCAAAUUUUUGUAGGUUGAUACUUUCUUUUGAUUCUAGCAUUUUUUGAUCGAUAAAAGUACUAACAGUACUUUUUGUAGUCUACUUGAGUUCAUAAUUCACUUGCCUAACUAUCAUAAGAUGUUCAUCAAGCACUCUGACACCUUCGCAUACACAAAAUCUGUAGCAAUGAAAAUCUGUCUUUAAGUUUUAUCUUUGUUGCUUAAUGCUUUUUCUUAGCCGAUUCAGUGCUGCCCUUGGAAUAUAUGCAUGUGGGAUGUAAAUUGACCAUGCUGUUAAGUGACUAAGUUGGGAGAUCAAACGUUAAUUAGUAGAUGAUUACAAGUGAAAAUUGUGGUGCAGAAAAGUAAAGAUUUGGACACUCCAGAAUUGCUUGAGCAUUUACCAGCUUUGUAGCAGCUUUUAUUUCGUAUUGUGCUACUUGCUUUUC
Long non-coding RNA from Rhododendron vialii, 1686 nucleotides. RefSeq lists it as uncharacterized. The transcript has 7 exons. Lineage: Eukaryota; Viridiplantae; Streptophyta; Magnoliopsida; Ericales; Ericaceae. The record is from RefSeq and is a predicted model, not a curated record.